This 773-nucleotide ribosomal RNA is filed under the name uncultured Neocallimastigales. RNAcentral's name for it is "partial large subunit ribosomal RNA". It matches the Rfam family "Eukaryotic large subunit ribosomal RNA", at positions 22 to 621 of the family's 3401-position model. Lineage: Eukaryota; Fungi; Neocallimastigomycota; Neocallimastigomycetes; Neocallimastigales. The record is from RNAcentral.
UAUCAGUCAUGCAUAGCAUAUCAAUAAGCGGAGGAAAAGAAACUAACAAGGAUUCCCUUAGUAACGGCGAGUGAAGCGGGAAGAGCUCAAAUUUGAAAUCCUCAAGGUUUUACCUUGACGAAUUGUAGUUUAAAGAAGUGUUUUCUGUUGAAGUUUUGGUAAAAGUUCUUUGGAAUAGGACAUCAUAGAGGGUGAGAAUCCCGUAUUUGACCAUUACUUUCAGCUUUGUGAUACACUUUCAAAGAGUCGGAUUGUUUGGGAAUGCAGUCCAAAAUGGGUGGUAAAUUUCAUCUAAAGCUAAAUAUUGGCGAGAGACCGAUAGCGAACAAGUACCGUGAGGGAAAGAUGAAAAGAACUUUGAAAAGAGAGUUAAACAGUACGUGAAAUUGUCAAAAGGGAAGCGUUUGACACCAGUGUUGUUUUCUCGAAAAUCAAUUAAAAAGAGUUGGAUUUUGUGUUGUAUUGACUUUAUCAGCUUUCUUCACUCUUUUCCAGCUUUUUUUAAUGCACUUUUCGUUUAACAAGUCAACAUCAGUUUCUUUUGUUGUAAAAAGGUCAUUGGAAGGUGGCUUUCUCUUCGGAGAAAGUGUUUAUAGCCUUUGACUCAUGCAAUCGGAGAGACUGAGGUCUGCAGCGUAGAUCCUUCGGGGUUAGAUACAUUUGUGCUAAGUUAUAGCUUUUCAUAGACAACUUGUUGACUAUGUUUAGUCUUGUAGCUUACUCGCUUAUGCUAUUUUACCUACGCUUAGGAUGUUGAACUCUAUCACACACAG